RNAcentral lists this ribosomal RNA (425 nucleotides) under Eutropis macularia (bronze grass skink). Its description in RNAcentral is "partial 16S ribosomal RNA". It matches the Rfam family "Bacterial large subunit ribosomal RNA", at positions 1961 to 2594 of the family's 2925-position model. The record is from RNAcentral. Lineage: Eukaryota; Metazoa; Chordata; Lepidosauria; Squamata; Scincidae.
GUAAUCACUUGUCUUCUAAAUAAAGACCCGUAUGAACGGCCAAAUGAGGACAAACCUGUCUCUUAUAACUAAUCAGUGAAACUGAUCUACCAGUACAAAAGCUGGUAUAUCAACAUAAGACGAGAAGACCCUGUGGAGCUUAAGACAAAAUACUAACUCAACAUAGUAUAUAAUCUUCAGUUGGGGCGACUUCGGAACAAAACAAAACUUCCGAGCAGAGAACCACAACCUCUUACCAAGACCAACAGGCCUAAGAAAAACUGACCCGGCCCACGCCGAUCAACGAACCAAGUUACCCCAGGGAUAACAGCGCUAUCUUCUUUAAGAGUCCAUAUCGACAAGAAGGUUUACGACCUCGAUGUUGGAUCAGGACACCCAGGUGGUGCAGCCGCUACCAAAGGUUCGUUUGUUCAACGAUUAACAGU